Gallus gallus (chicken) is the source of this 1365-nucleotide long non-coding RNA. NCBI's taxonomy places the organism in Eukaryota, Metazoa, Chordata, Aves, Galliformes, Phasianidae. The record is from Ensembl.
AAUACUGCUAGAAGCUUCUGAGGAACCUUCAUUCAUUCCUGCAGCUGGUGAGAGAGAAAAUGAAUAGUAAUUCAUAAGACUGAGUUGGCAUCACAACUACCAUGGCAAAUUGCUGUGGCAUCAGGAUGCCCAGCCAUGAGAAGCCAUCUGCUGUGCUGUAAAGGCAGAGGAUGAGUGAUCGGUGAUGCCUGAAAGUAAAAGAAUUCCCAUUUUACCAGGGAUAGCUCAGUGAACUGUAUGACAAGCAACAUGUCAUCUCUACAAGUGGCUGUAGGGUUGUAAAACAACAAGCAGAGCUUGCUGAGACCACUGACAUGCUGCAGUCAUUCCUGCAGAGUGCAGAGAAGAAAAGCAGAUGCUCCUCAGCCUUUUAUAUUGCCUUCACAUUGAACAUGUAACUGUAAGUAGGAAAAAGUCCCAUCUGGACGUUGAUAUUCAGAAGCAUCAGAAGGAUACUGCCAUUCUCCAGCUGUGGAACUGAGCACAGAGCACUCCUCUGCAUGCCUGCAGCUUUGAACGUAUUUAAUAGUCAGAGAAUCGAAAUUCUGGUUAUCAUACUCCUGUCUUCCUAAAACCCAAUGUUGCACUUGGAAAUGCAGUUCCAAAUCCCCAGGGAAAGUGGUAGGAAUAUAUCAACAAUAACUUAAUAACCAAAGCCUCAACAAAAUAGCUACUGCUCUCUCCCUGGUGAUCAGCUUCCCUCGGGUUACCUGCAGGAUGCUGACAUGAGCAGUUCUCAUCUCCAUAUAGAAGAAGAAGCUGGGGAAGGCACAUUUGUUUCUAAGAAAAUAAAACUAAUCACUUUGAAUGAUACACUAACAGCAUUUUUUACAGCUUUUACAAGAGGACUUUAGCAUUAGGUAAAAGGAGCCUUCAAAAUUAUGGCACCAAAUCAAGACAAAACACUGAAGGAGAUGUCUGGCACUACACUAACUUCUCCAGGGACCAUAUCUGUGCUUUGGAAGAUCAGUAGCUGAGGCAUGUACUGAGGCUGAGCUGUAAUGGGAAAUAUGAUCCCAUGGAGGAAGUGAAUGUUGCAAUGCUUUAUCAUGUGCUUUGCCAACCUGUGUCUCAAGGCCAUGUUGCCACAUUUUACAUUGAACAGAUUACUCAAUUUGCUAAAAUUAGAUUUCUCACCAUCUAAGGAAUCGAUAUUACUGUUUUGCGAUCCCUUCCCUCAUUAUACAGAAUUAAAAUUGGUCAGUCAAUCAUAUCAAACUUCCAUGCACCUCGCAUGACUCCAUCAAUUAUUUUAAGGGUGGAACUGAUACAGGGUUUUUCUGCCAUUUUCUUCUCUCUACCACAAUCACAGGUUCAUUUAUUGGUGUAAUUUUGGAUUUAAUAAAACUUGAUACUUUAAGAAAC